GUAGUAUGGAAUAGCCAUUAGAAAUGAUGGGUAAUACUGUAUAAUCCCUGCGGGGGAAAGAUUUAUCGCUAUUAGAUGAGCCUACGUUAGAUUAGCUAGUUGGUAAGGUAAUGGCUUACCAAGGCUAUGAUCUAUAGCUGGUCUGAGAGGACGAUCAGCCACACUGGAACUGAGAUACGGUCCAGACUCCUACGGGAGGCAGCAGUGGGGAAUAUUGGACAAUGGGCGAAAGCCUGAUCCAGCUAUGCCGCGUGAGUGAAGAAGGCCUUCGGGUUGUAAAGCUCUUUCAAUAGGGAAGAUAAUGACGGUACCUAUA
Molecule: ribosomal RNA, 316 nt
Filed under: Ehrlichia ewingii
Lineage: Bacteria; Pseudomonadati; Pseudomonadota; Alphaproteobacteria; Rickettsiales; Anaplasmataceae
Description: bacterial SSU rRNA
Rfam family: Bacterial small subunit ribosomal RNA
Source: RNAcentral